UGGGGAAUAUUGCACAAUGGAGGGAACUCUGAUGCAGCGACGCCGCGUGAACGAAGAAGGCUUUCGAGUCGUAAAGUUCUUUUAUAUGGGAAGAUAAUGACGGUAUCAUAAGAAAAAGCCCCGGCUAACUACGUGCCAGCAGCCGCGGUAAUACGUAGGGGGCUAGCGUUGUCCGGAAUCACUGGGCGUAAAGGGUUCGCAGGCGGAAAUGCAAGUCAGGUGUAAAAGGCAGUAGCUUAACUACUGUAAGCAUUUGAAACUGCAUAUCUUGAGAAGAGUAGAGGUAAGUGGAAUUUUUAGUGUAGCGGUGAAAUGCGUAGAUAUUAAAAAGAAUACCGGUGGCGAAGGCGACUUACUGGGCUCCUUCUGACGCUGAGGAACGAAAGCGUGGGUAGCAAACAGG
Molecule: ribosomal RNA, 403 nt
Filed under: Bacteroidota bacterium
Lineage: Bacteria; Pseudomonadati; Bacteroidota
Description: Bacteroidetes bacterium partial 16S ribosomal RNA
Rfam family: Bacterial small subunit ribosomal RNA
Source: RNAcentral